GGCUGAAACGAUUCCCAAAUGACGAACAGGGUUCUCGAAAAUAUGUAAACAAACCUUUUUUUGGUCAGUUUCUAUUUAUUUUUGCUACAAAGGAUUCCCCCGUCUGAACAUGCGAUGCGAGGGUUAAAAAAAAAGUGAUUUUUGACAAAUAAAUAACCAAAAACUGAUACUUACUGAACUAAAUUUUGUCAACAACUUCUUGAUGCUUGUCCGUUAAAAAAACACGAUGACGUCAUCGGAUUGACCACGAC
Molecule: long non-coding RNA, 251 nt
Filed under: Mytilus galloprovincialis (Mediterranean mussel)
Lineage: Eukaryota; Metazoa; Mollusca; Bivalvia; Mytilida; Mytilidae
Source: RNAcentral